GUCUACUGCCUAGUGACGCGCGGCGUUCCGGAAGUUGCUGUGGCCGAAACGCAGUGGUCAGUGGAGGCGGGACUUAGAGGGGCGGAGGCCUGGGACCGGGGAUCUGAAGCGGCCAAACGUUGACUUGACCCCGGAAGUAGGCUGAAGGACCGGGCGAGCGGCAAGCUACGGGCAGCGGCGGACGGACUCUCAGAUAGCAUCGGCAGCGGCUAUGUUUCACUUCUUCCGAAAGCCUGCAGAAUCCAAAAAGCCCUCUGUGCCGGAACCGGAAGCCGAUGGAUUUGUCCUCUUAGGGAAGUUCCAAACCCCAGUGGGGGCUGGAAACUGUUGCUGAGGAAGUCUGGA
This is a long non-coding RNA of Rattus rattus (black rat), 345 nucleotides long. RefSeq lists it as uncharacterized. The record is from RefSeq and is a predicted model, not a curated record. The transcript has 3 exons. Lineage: Eukaryota; Metazoa; Chordata; Mammalia; Rodentia; Muridae.